This 484-nucleotide ribosomal RNA is filed under the name uncultured bacterium. RNAcentral's name for it is "partial 16S ribosomal RNA". It matches the Rfam family "Bacterial small subunit ribosomal RNA", at positions 29 to 507 of the family's 1533-position model. The record is from RNAcentral.
AUUGAACGCUGGCGGCAUGCUUUACACAUGCCAGUCGAACGGCAGCGCGGGCUUCGGCCUGGCGGCGAGUGGCGAACGGGUGAGUAAUACAUCGGAACGUGCCCAGUCGUGGGGGAUAGCUCGGCGAAAGCCGGAUUAAUACCGCAUACGACCUGAGGGUGAAAGCGGGGGAUCUUCGGACCUCGCGCUAUUGGAGCGGCCGAUGGCAGAUUAGCUAGUUGGUGGGGUAAAGGCCUACCAAGGCGACGAUCUGUAGCUGGUCUGAGAGGACGACCAGCCACACUGGGACUGAGACACGGCCCAGACUCCUACGGGAGGCAGCAGUGGGGAAUUUUGGACAAUGGGCGAAAGCCUGAUCCAGCAAUGCCGCGUGUGUGAUGAAGGCCUUCGGGUUGUAAAGCACUUUUGGCGGGAACGAAAAGGACUGUGCCAAUACCACGGUUCGAUGACGGUACCCGCAGAAUAAGCACCGGCUAACUACGUG